AUCGCCCCACUGCCCUCCAGGGUGGGCGACAGAGCCAGACCCUGUUGCUAAAAAAAAAAAAAAAAAAAAAAAAAAAAUCCAUAAAGCCGGGGACCAUCUUUGCUCCAAGGAGGUCAGCUGACCCGGGCUGGCACAGGCCCUGGCGCAGUUCCCGCCCCUCCCGGGAGCGCUGGCACCGCCCCUUGGCACCACCCCCUCCCCGCGCCCCCGCCUUCCAGGAAGGGGCGGGGUCUCCGAGACGGGUGGGGCCGGAGCUCCAAGCUGGUUUGAACAAGCCCUGGGCAUGUUUGGCGGGAAGUUGGCUUAGCUCGGCUACCUGUGGCCCCGCAGUUUUGUAGUCCCCGCCUUGUUUCUCCCCAGAGGCCUCUCAAUCCUCCCUCCAUGAUCUUCGCAUAGAGCACAGUACCCCUUCACACGGAGGACGCGAUGGCUCCCAAGAAACGCCCAGAAACCCAGAAGACCUCCGAGAUUGUAUUACGCCCCAGGAACAAGAGGAGCAGGAGUCCCCUGGAGCUGGAGCCCGAGGCCAAGAAGCUCUGUGCGAAGGGCUCCGGUCCUAGCAGAAGAUGUGACUCAGACUGCCUCUGGGUGGGGCUGGCUGGCCCACAGAUCCUGCCACCAUGCCGCAGCAUCGUCAGGACCCUCCACCAGCAUAAGCUGGGCAGAGCUUCCUGGCCAUCUGUCCAGCAGGGGCUCCAGCAGUCCUUUUUGCACACUCUGGAUUCUUACCGGAUAUUACAAAAGGCUGCCCCCUUUGACAGGAGGGCUACAUCCUUGGCGUGGCACCCAACUCACCCCAGCACCGUGGCUGUGGGUUCCAAAGGGGGAGAUAUCAUGCUCUGGAAUUUUGGCAUCAAGGACAAACCCACCUUCAUCAAAGGGAUUGGAGCUGGAGGGAGCAUCACUGGGCUGAAGUUUAACCCUCUCAAUACCAACCAGUUUUACGCCUCCUCAAUGGAGGGAACAACUAGGCUGCAAGACUUUAAAGGCAACAUUCUACGAGUUUUUGCCAGCUCAGACACCAUCAACAUCUGGUUUUGUAGCCUGGAUGUGUCUGCUAGUAGCCGAAUGGUGGUCACAGGAGACAACGUGGGGAACGUGAUCCUGCUGAACAUGGACGGCAAAGAGCUUUGGAAUCUCAGAAUGCACAAAAAGAAAGUGACGCAUGUGGCCCUGAACCCAUGCUGUGAUUGGUUCCUGGCCACAGCCUCCGUAGAUCAAACAGUGAAAAUUUGGGACCUGCGCCAGGUUAGAGGGAAAGCCAGCUUCCUCUACUCGCUGCCGCACAGGCAUCCUGUCAACGCAGCUUGUUUCAGUCCCGAUGGAGCCCGGCUCCUGACCACGGACCAGAAGAGCGAGAUCCGAGUUUACUCUGCUUCCCAGUGGGACUGCCCCCUGGGCCUGAUCCCGCACCCUCACCGUCACUUCCAGCACCUCACACCCAUCAAGGCAGCCUGGCAUCCUCGCUACAACCUCAUUGUUGUGGGCCGAUACCCAGAUCCUAAUUUCAAAAGUUGUACCCCUUAUGAAUUGAGGACGAUCGAUGUGUUCGAUGGAAACUCAGGGAAGAUGAUGUGUCAGCUCUAUGACCCAGAAUCUUCUGGCAUCAGUUCGCUUAAUGAAUUCAAUCCCAUGGGGGACACGCUGGCCUCUGCAAUGGGUUACCACAUUCUCAUCUGGAGCCAGGAGGAAGCCAGGACACGGAAGUGAGAGACACUAAAGAAGGUGUGGGCCAGACAAGGCCUUGGAGCCCACACAUGGGAUCAAGUCCUGCAAGCAGAGGUGGCGAUCUGUUAAAGGGCCAAAAGUAUCCAAGCCAAUAAAACCAUACCGACUGAGCUUCUGCGUGGAUCUUCCAGAAGUGACCUGGUCAGAGAGCUUCUUGCGUCUCAGAAAUGAAGAAAAGGCACAGGAAACAGCACUAUCAGUCCAAUAGGAAACAGCACUAUUCAUUCUCUGGGAGCUGCCCCAGCCCUAUUCUGGGCCACAGUCUAGAACUUUCUUUCCCAGCUCACAACCUGCAUGUAGCUCAGGUCCCUGGAGACCCCAGCCCAGCUGAGGGAGAGCAGUUUCCUGAUUCGUGUGACAAGCAACUCCAUUCCCACCACUCCCCACUCCCUCCCAAGUACAGACAACCUUCCAUCCUGCUCCAGUUGAAGGGGUCACAACGAUUCCUGAAGCAUUCUGUCUGAGUCUAAUGGUGGCUCUAGCCAGACACAGGGAAAUGUGGCUGGCUGGCUGUUGGGUGAUCCAGUUCCUUGGGAGCCAAUGUUUGUACCCCUGGUAUUAGCUGUUUUUCCCGCUAAAAUAAGCACUGAGAGGCAAGACCGUGUCCCUCUGAGCUAUUUGCCAAAGACUUCAGGCUGGAGGAAAAAGAACAGGGCUUGAUAGAAGUGCAAGGCGGAUCCAGCACCAACUCUGCCAUUUUCUAAUCCUAGGUCCUGAGUGAACACUGACUGCCAGUUUACAUCUCAGGUGUGUAGGGAGCGUGGAGGAGGCAAAUCCUGUUUGGAGAAAGCCAGUGUCCAACACAGCACUUGGUAAACGUCAGGCAUGGGAAUGCUGAGUGACAGGCACCACGGGCCACGCUGAGCCCCACUCGCUCAUCUGGCUGGGGUCAUCAGAGGGAGGCCCAACCCAGGAUCUCCUGUCCAUGGGCUGGGGAGCAGCAACAGUCAGGAGCGAGGGCCCAGCCCACCUCCCCUAGGAGGUGGAGGGAAGGGGGCUGAGUGGUUGUCAGGCGUGGUCCUCCCCAUCUGCGACGUGGCGGUAGCCAGGAGGCUGGGCCUGCAUCCGGAAGAGGACGGUGAGGAGCAGCACUAUGAGGAGGAAGAGGAUGGAGCCACAUACAGCCAAGGCCACGAUCACCUCUGGGCAUGGGGGAGGCAAGAGAAAGGUCAUGUCAGCGUUCCAUCAUAUGCCAGGUACUGUUCUGACAUAUAGGAGAUACACAGAGGUGGCCAAGACAGAGUCCCUGCUCUCAUGGAGUUUACAUUCUAGGAGAGGGGAUGUAAUAAAUAAGCAAAUGGGCUGGUCACAGUGGCUCACGCCUAUAAUCCCAACACUUUGGAAGGUUGAGGUGGGCAGAUCACCUGAGGUCAGGAGUUGGAGACCAGCCUGGCCAUCAUGGUGAAAACCCAUCUCUACUAAAUAAAGUUGGCCGUGCGCAGUGGCUCACA
Pan troglodytes (chimpanzee) is the source of this 3179-nucleotide RNA transcript. It is a transcript of the gene named damage specific DNA binding protein 2, with no coding region annotated. The record is from RefSeq and is a predicted model, not a curated record. NCBI's taxonomy places the organism in Eukaryota, Metazoa, Chordata, Mammalia, Primates, Hominidae. The transcript has 11 exons.